AGCCUCGAGGUGUUUUGACAUGUUAGAUUGCAAACCUAAAGGAGCGGACUAACUGUCUGCCGGGGCUU
RNAcentral lists this transfer RNA (68 nucleotides) under Centropyge flavicauda (whitetail angelfish). RNAcentral describes it as "tRNA-Cys". Lineage: Eukaryota; Metazoa; Chordata; Actinopteri; Pomacanthidae. The record is from RNAcentral. RNAcentral also lists the same sequence under 1 other name.